AAUAUCAUUGGAAUAAUGACUGCAAUUAGAUUGCUAAUUUUAAAAGGUUAUUUUAAAUAUUUUAAUUUUAAUUUCUAUUUUAUUUAUAUAAAAAUCGUCAUCGCAUAAGAAUUCUCUUAAUGAAUUCUUGCUAACAUUGACUAUUUAUGUAUAUUGAUUCACGUUGAAAUCGAGAAAAACAUCUGAACAACACACAUAUUCUAAAGCAAAUCAUGUUUUGAUUAAAAUUAUUAUUCGUGUUACUGGCGCCAAUAAGAUUUUUAACUUAACCAAGAUGAUCUCUGAGGAAUGUUAAUGUCUUCCUUGACUUUUGUCUUUUUCUUAACGGUUUUUUUUAAAACUGUAUUUUUUAAUAUUUUGUAACUUUAUUUUUCCAAACCAGAGAUGAGAGAAUCCACAUUACAUUUUUUGCAUUGAUGAUUAAGGAAAUUUAUACCUUAAAAAAACAUUGAAUUUUUUAUAAUAAAUAAAUAAUAUAAUACGUGAUUAAAAUACAUAUGAAUACAAUUUUUUGAAGAGUAUAUAAGUAUAUUUUUACUGUAACUAAAAAAAAUCACUUUAGUGAAAAGAAGAUACGUAAACAAGAUAUAAAAAUGAACGACAUGAUUACAUUCCAACGAUCAUCGCUUUUUUGGAUGGGUCUUUUACAUUUUUCAUAGAUGACUUUGCAAUCACCGUGUGACGUGUAUUGCCAUAUAUGGUCCGGAAUAAUUGAACAGAUUAUCCUACACCGGUUGAUUUGUCGUCGAUUAAUCGGACUUGUGACUAAUUCGCGUUAUCAAGCGGUCGAUCGUAACGUCGAACGUAAAUCGUCUUGUUUGGACGUGGUCAAACCUCGUUCAGUGUAGAUCAUUGACCAAUGCGGAAGUUGAGGACAUCGACUCUCUGUGUAAGUGGAAGAUCUCUGUAAAACUGUGUAUUCUAUCUUCUUAAUUCUCUUUCUCUCUCUCUCUUUUUUUUUUAUCAAUUAUAAAGCAUGGAUUACAAGAUGUACAAAUAAAUAUUAUAACACAUGAAAAAUAAACUGGUAGGUUAAACUGGGUAAACUGGUAAUGGCUAAUUCCAUUACGAUUUUAAUUCCAUCUAAACUCGUCAAUUAUUUUGUCAAAACUGAAAUAAAUCACAGAAAUUUUAAGUAAAAUUGAGAAAGAGAAAGAGAAAGAUGGAAAGAAUCGAAAGCAUCCCUUUCUGGGUUAUAUACUUUUUGCCAUUUAUCAUAUAGCCCUAGACUUCAAUAUUUAUUGUUUCUGCCCCCGAUACGUAGGCCAGGCCGGGCCCGCCUUAGGUAUGCAAGCGCACAUGCAAGCCUUUUCUGCAGCUGCAGCAAUUCACCACAAUAUCCAAUCGACGAAGCUUGCUGGCGGGAUUAAAAGGGCCACUGGCAAUCUGCCAAUAAGGCUGACAGACUCAUUAACGGAUAACCAGCGACAAUUAAGGAGCAGCAAGAAAGGCUUGAUUAGUGGCGACGAGUAACGAGACCAGCACGAACAAAGACCACGCGAGGACAAUCAUCCUGGAUCGUAGUGAUCACUGAGAAGUAUUGAUAGCGAGUUGAUCAACUUGCCAAAUUUCGGAUCAACCAGGCUUCCACUACGGUUACGAUUUCGCGCACCUGACCGGUAUACACGCGUGUACGUAUCCGUAAUAAUUUGAUUGGUAUUUCAAAUUAAUGUUUUCUUCUUAAAUGUAUAUUAAAUAUAUAAAUAUAUAUAUUCUUAUAUAUGUUUAUAUAUGUAUUUAUGUAGAUAUGUAUAUAUCUGUAUAUUCGUAGGUAUGUGUGUGUACGUGUGUCGAAGGUCUUAAUUCGGCGUCGCUAGUUCUCGGACACGUUUCUCUCGAUGAACCGGGCCGUCGGGCUCAGACUCGGCUCUACCGACUUCUCCGACCAGUUAGCCAGCAGUGAACUGCUCGUGUUCCUGCCUUGGGCAUCGUAAUAUACAUAAAGUCGCCAGAUAAGCCGCAGCUGACACCCCACCACGAACCCGUCGUGGGACGGUCCGUCUUCUCGCUCGCUUACUCUCGAUGGAACAGCUUGAAAUCCUCUUCUUCUCGAAACCGCCCCGCCGCUCGUUCAUUCCCUCUCUCUAUCGCUCUUUCGCCUUUUCUGUACCACGUCCCUGUACACGUGUUCCCGCGAUGCGGAUUGCAGUUCGCAAACAUCAGCCGACCUGUGCAAAAACUACCGUUGCAAACGGGUUUCUUGACUGUUUAGACUUAACUCCGAUAAAAGUUUUUGAUAUUUUGAUAUAAGAAACGUGAUUUAAAGACGCAACUCUAUCAUUUUCUUUUUGUUUUAGGUAAUGACAAGAACGAUAAUAAUGAAUAUUUACAUCGAGUUUUUUGAUCGCUUAAAACUUGAUUCAAGUUAAAGAUUUAUAAGAUUUUUUUGACAUGAUAAGUAUAAUUUCAAUUCUGAUUUUUUCGGAAGUGUUUUGACGAAGAGAAUAUUAGUGGAUAUUAACUCUCUGGAGAAAUGUGUAUUUUUGAAGUGAUACAUGGUUGGCUCUUUCUAGGAAAAUGAGAUAUCAAUCACUUGUGAAGUUAUUUAAGUCAGUUGCCGCUAAAAGACAACUAAAUCUAAAUGUCAUCGUACGUCGAGCAGCAAACGAGUUGUAUUACCAUAAUCUCAUCGCAAGGGCAAGAUUAUAGCCGCGUUUCUAUUCUGCUAAUUCCAUGUUAAACAUUUUUGCCUGAAACGCGACCUUCCGGAAUUUAAUCUUUUUUAUGCAUAUUAUAUUCGUUUCAGCAUUACACGAGUGUCACACGUUGAGGCUAACUUAUGUGAUACUUGACACACUGGAACCAACGAUAACGAGCCACCUGGAACGAGACUAACGAGCAUCUCACAUUUCGUAUGAUGUAUUCUGCCAUUACUGACAUAGUACACGUGAUACAUACAUCCAUGUUAGAUAAGUCACGACUUGUAUUAUUCGUCUUCACUACAGGGGACUUCUUUCUUCGAAGAAAUCGGUCGAAUCUCUUCCAAUUAUUUGACUUUGAUUAGAUCUCGAUUGUUCGUGCCCAAUGCCUCGGAAGUAACAUAACCGAUUGUGAUAAUAAGUCAAUAGAAUUGAGUCAUAAAUCAUAAUUGAUUUUCUAGCUGGUAACAUUUUAUAUUAAUUGUGCCGUUCCAGAUAAUACAUUAUUAAAAAAAAUAUAUUAGAAAAAUGAUUGGUAUCAAUUAUUAUCGCUCAAGUUGAAAAACGUAUGAUUAAACCAAGCGAGAAAAAUUGAAUGAAAUAAUAAUCACGUUUAUAUUAAAUACUUGAUACACAGAGUACGCAUAAAUUUUCAGAAUGUCUUGUCAUUUUUAAUUUAAUCAUUAACAAUUUAAUCAUAGAAUAUUUUAAAUCAUUCAUUUAACAUAAUCAAUAUAUUAGUCAGUUAAUAUCUAUUGAAAGACUUUGCGGAUUAUGUUUAUAAUGGCAUAUUGGUUUUGAAUAAUUUAUUCUCAGAAAUAAAAUCUUCUAGUAAAAGUCCAUUCUUCAAUUUCUUGUUUUUUAUCUUAAUUUAAGAUAACAUAACAUGAAAUGAUGAUAGAAUUAUUUGAAUAUAAUAAAAAUCAGUUAUGCAACAUUUCAUUUUAUAAUGUAGAUUGAACAUUUCCAAUUAUUGUUCUCAAUUAUUCCAUGCAGUUGCAUAUUAAAUUUAUAUUUUCUUCUUUUAUAUAUUUUACAUUUUGAAAAUGUCGAUGAAAUGAAUAUACAUACAUGUAUACUAUAUUUUAAAUAGAAUAUUAACUCGAUAAAAAGAUAGUCUACAUGACAUUCCGUUUCUAGAUACCAUCUUCCUUCUACGGCCCUUCUUGUCACAUUGACUUAUGCUCGUUGGACCGCACAUUUCAAUCUCGCUUCAGAACGUUUUCUCAUGCUAAUUUCGAUGCGGCCCGUUUUCAUCUCGCACGAUCCUCACGUACACCAUCUAAAUCAGUUGUUUGCGGAACAGCGUGCGAAAUAUUCUAUACCGAUGUACCGUGUAUCUUCCAUUAUUAAUAAUAACUUAUAUAUCUGUCAGAUAAAUUGUUUCACAUUAAUAGCACAUUUUCUAAAUGUGUUGUUACAAAUGAUUGCUUCUUGCUGUUUCUGUCCUCUCUCUUUUUUUUUUUUUUUUUUUUUUUUUAAUUUUUGAUUCGAUAACGAUUUUAUAAUAUCUAAUUUUAAAAGUGUAAGCUUUGAAACUUCCAGAAUUUAAUCGAUCAUCGAUUAUUAAAUUAUCAACAAAGUUUAGAUUUAAAUUUAAACAUUUAGAUUGUAAAUAUUCGUACGCAUUAAUCUAUUGAAAGAUGUAAAUAUUGAUUAUUGAUAUUUUUGUAUCUUCAAAAGUAUAUAUAUAAAAAUUAUUGAUUACGAGUACAAAUAUAAUCGAAAAUGGAUUUACCUUUAGUAGGAAUUUAAUGAAUGAGAUUUAAUCUAAUCUCUAAAUAUAUUUUUGAAAAACGAAAACUUUUUCUUUAGUUUUUAGAGAUAUAGAGCUAAAGAUGCGAGAUUUUAUCUAUUUUUCUCACAAAUUAUUGUGAUUUUGUUUCACCAAUGAAGGCAUAUCGAUAUUUGCAAACCAUUUCACGUGCUCCAUUGUGUUUCUUUAAUUUUAUUAUUAGGUUUCGUAGCACGCGCAAACGCAUAACACAUGCGAAAUGAAAAUAGAUUCAUUGCGCCUCUGUUACCAUGGCCUUCGUUGCAUAUUUGCUUACAAGGUGCGUCUUAAAAGCAUUGUAAACACCGCAUAGUCUACCUACCAGUUGAUUGCGUAUCUCGUUUGCUGCGGAAAGAAUCAGUUACAGUAGAACUCCAUUUAUUCCUAUCUUACUUACUAAAAUCAUAUUUCUAAUCUAUUAUCAUUAUAAUUAUAUGAAUUUUACAUUCAAGCAAAUACAUAUUUAUCACUUAUAAAAAAUAGAAAAAAAUAAUCUUAUAAAGAAAAUAAAUUUACAAAUUUGCAGACAAAAUUUGGAUUUAUAUAUAUAUAAAUUAUCGAAUUAUCAUUACAUAAAAUAUGAUUCAUUAUUUAGAAGGAAUUGAUUGUAUCAUCACAUUUUAUGUUUAUAUAUGUGCAAUGGUUAUAGAACGGAAUGAGCAAUAGAAAAAAUUUUUAUUUAUAUCAAGUUAUCCAAUCUGUUUUGUCUCGGUAUAUAUUCUGAUAAAUAAAGCUAAUUUUUCUUUGAAAAAAAAUCCCAUUCGAUUCUCCUUCCUUGGAACGAUGGUUGAAUUAAUAAUACGUCCCAAUCUAACAAUAAACCUCGUAACUCGAAUAAGUUUUAUCGAUCUCGUUCGAGGACGAGUGAAAAAUAAUCCGAACGAAAAAACGAUCAAGCAUAAAAUUCUUCAUUAUUGAAAAUUUUACAAGGAUUCAUUUUAAAAAUAAAUGAAGAAGAGAAGAAGAAAAAUUUUUCAGAGAUCCUCUGUGAAAUAUGUAUAUUAACAGAUAGCAUCUGUUACCGAGGGGGAAGACGAAUUAAUGAAACAGCUCAUUGAAACGUCACAACAAAAGUCCGAUCGCUUCAUGCACCGCUAUAUUUAGUCGCGCAGAUGUUUUGAAAAAUAUAAAGAAGCACGCGGUACGAUAAUAAGCAGGCGACGAUAUUAAAUUUAAUGCAAUGGCUGUUAUGGGAACUCGUUUAUGUUAUGAAUGAGUUGAGCGAAAAUGAUGAUGAUGAUGUGACAUUCCGAUUACUUGGAAUAAUAUUCCUCCGAUGGGAAGUAGUGAACAAAAAUUUCCUAAUUAACAUCGACUCUGCAAUCAAGAUAACAACGAUUUGCUUGAAGCUUUUGAUGGGAUUUAAUUCUUUUUCAUAAUACAAUAUUUAUAUCGCCUAUUGCUAUUUAUUGUAGUUUGUGUUGCGGUAAUACAUAUUUUUAUUAGAAAAAUAAUCAUUUUUAUAUUCAUAGAUCAUCGAGAAUAUAUUGUAUCAUCUUAUUUUUAUUCUUUUGAAUUCUUCCAAUGAAUACAUAUGCUUAUAUGAGAAUUUCUUUAAAGAGAAAUUAAAUUGAGGAACUUCCAACAGAUAAACAGAUUGUAAAAAUCUGUUGUAAACAGAUGUAAAAAGAUCGUUUUAUUAUUAUACAUUUCGUUUAUAAUAUAUGAAUAUAUUUGCAUGUUUCAUACUCGUUAUUUGAAUUUUUCGUUA
This is a long non-coding RNA of Apis mellifera (honey bee), 6124 nucleotides long. RefSeq lists it as uncharacterized. The transcript is spliced from 4 exons. The record is from RefSeq and is a predicted model, not a curated record. Lineage: Eukaryota; Metazoa; Arthropoda; Insecta; Hymenoptera; Apidae.